Non-coding RNA from Pelobates cultripes (western spadefoot toad), 314 nucleotides. NCBI's taxonomy places the organism in Eukaryota, Metazoa, Chordata, Amphibia, Anura, Pelobatidae. The record is from the annotation of a GenBank genome assembly.
AGAGUUCCCCAGCGCCCGGCAACCUUCGGCACUCCAGAUGUUUUGCCAGCAUUAUGGGUGUAAGUGCAUUAUGGGGGAUGUAGUCUACAACAUCUGGAGUGCCGAAGAUUGCCUAUCCCUGCACUAGAGACUGCUAUUAAUUUGCAUCAGCGAUUUUCAUGUAUAUUUCUGUAAUGCUGGUCUUUGCUGCGGCAUAUGCCUGUCAACGAUGUCUCUUAGAAAUCAGUAAUCAGGGGUUUAUGGAAAACAUACAAAUUUUUGUUUCAUCCCAUAACCUUCUUCACAGAUGCUGCAAAUUUUUAUGGAGCUUAGUU